GAUGAACGCUGGCGGCGUGCCUAAUACAUGCAAGUCGAGCGAACGGACGAGAAGCUUGCUUCUCUGAUGUUAGCGGCGGACGGGUGAGUAACACGUGGAUAACCUACCUAUAAGACUGGGAUAACUUCGGGAAACCGGAGCUAAUACCGGAUAAUAUUUUGAACCGCAUGGUUCAAAAGUGAAAGACGGUCUUGCUGUCACUUAUAGAUGGAUCCGCGCUGCAUUAGCUAGUUGGUAAGGUAACGGCUUACCAAGGCAACGAUGCAUAGCCGACCUGAGAGGGUGAUCGGCCACACUGGAACUGAGACACGGUCCAGACUCCUACGGGAGGCAGCAGUAGGGAAUCUUCCGCAAUGGGCGAAAGCCUGACGGAGCAACGCCGCGUGAGUGAUGAAGGUCUUCGGAUCGUAAAACUCUGUUAUUAGGGAAGAACAUAUGUGUAAGUAACUGUGCACAUCUUGACGGUACCUAAUCAGAAAGCCACGGCUAACUACGUGCCAGCAGCCGCGGUAAUACGUAGGUGGUAAGCGUUAUCCGGAAUUAUUGGGCGUAAAGCGCGCGUAGGCGGUUUUUUAAGUCUGAUGUGAAAGCCCACGGCUCAACCGUGGAGGGUCAUUGGAAACUGGAAAACUUGAGUGCAGAAGAGGAAAGUGGAAUUCCAUGUGUAGCGGUGAAAUGCGCAGAGAUAUGGAGGAACACCAGUGGCGAAGGCGACUUUCUGGUCUGUAACUGACGCUGAUGUGCGAAAGCGUGGGGAUCAAACAGGAUUAGAUACCCUGGUAGUCCACGCCGUAAACGAUGAGUGCUAAGUGUUAGGGGGUUUCCGCCCCUUAGUGCUGCAGCUAACGCAUUAAGCACUCCGCCUGGGGAGUACGACCGCAAGGUUGAAACUCAAAGGAAUUGACGGGGACCCGCACAAGCGGUGGAGCAUGUGGUUUAAUUCGAAGCAACGCGAAGAACCUUACCAAAUCUUGACAUCCUUUGACAACUCUAGAGAUAGAGCUUUCCCCUUCGGGGGACAAAGUGACAGGUGGUGCAUGGUUGUCGUCAGCUCGUGUCGUGAGAUGUUGGGUUAAGUCCCGCAACGAGCGCAACCCUUAAGCUUAGUUGCCAUCAUUAAGUUGGGCACUCUAAGUUGACUGCCGGUGACAAACCGGAGGAAGGUGGGGAUGACGUCAAAUCAUCAUGCCCCUUAUGAUUUGGGCUACACACGUGCUACAAUGGACAAUACAAAGGGCAGCGAAACCGCGAGGUCAAGCAAAUCCCAUAAAGUUGUUCUCAGUUCGGAUUGUAGUCUGCAACUCGACUACAUGAAGCUGGAAUCGCUAGUAAUCGUAGAUCAGCAUGCUACGGUGAAUACGUUCCCGGGUCU
This 1372-nucleotide ribosomal RNA is filed under the name uncultured bacterium. Its description in RNAcentral is "bacterial SSU rRNA". It matches the Rfam family "Bacterial small subunit ribosomal RNA", at positions 28 to 1381 of the family's 1533-position model. The record is from RNAcentral.